GAACCAGAAUCUGUCUCAAAAAAAAAAAAAAAGAAAGAAAGAAAAAGAAAAAAGAGAAAUAGGUAGGAGUUUGAGAUCAUCCCACAAAGGUUAAUGCUCCUAAUAGUUGCACCUGGAAAGGCCUGCAACAGAACAAUUGUUGUUUGUGUCACUGGCUGUGCCCAAAAAACUGGUAGAACAAUGAUGAUCCAAAGGUAAAUGUGGGCAUUUAUUCACGUCUCACUUAAGGAGAAAAGAGUUGUUAUACAAGGCCUGAUCUUUUCUGGGUAUUUUGUUUUCCUGCAGGUGGUAAAGGCAUUUGUAGUCCUAACUCCAGCCUACUCCUCUCAUGACCCAGUUGCACUGACACGGGAACUCCAGGAGCAUGUGAAAAGGGUGACUGCUCCAUACAAAUACCCCAGGAAGGUGGCCUUUGUUUCAGAACUGCCAAAGACGGUUUCUGGAAAGAUCCAAAGGAGUAAAUUGCGAAGUCAGGAGUGGGGGAAAUGAGAUGCAGCCACAGGAAGGCCCCAUAGACCUCUGAAAGCUCCACCUGGAACUAAUGGAUCACUGGUCAGCCCCCACGGGGGCAUCAUCUCUUCAACCCUGAAGAUGUUAAAGGCCUGCAGCUUCCAAACGGGCAUCCCCAGGAUCACUAGGCAAUGCUGGAAAGGGCAAAAGAACAUCUCUGGCCCCGACCACAGACAUGCUGCCCUGCCUAGCAAAUGCUCAGUGGCUUCACUUCUCCCUCUGUCUGGGGGGGCAGGCUCAGCAUCUGCCCACUUGCCCACUGGUCUCACUUACUAGAGCUUCCAGAUUUCCCCCCAUAGGACAGGUUACCGUAACCUUGGGGCACUUGUGGUAUCAUUCUCUGCCAGUGGGAAUGUAAAGGCUUCAUCCUUAGUAUGUGACCAUUUGGUAAAAGUAUGCAGGACCAUAAAAUUAGCAAUAUCCUUUAGCUAAAAAAUUCUACCUUUGGGAGUCACCACAAAAGAAAAAAAUCAAAAUGCAGAAAAUGUGUGGCAAACUAAGAUAAUUAUUCAGCAUUCUUUAAAAAACAAAAGAAAAAAAUUAACAUCCAAACAACAAGAUGAUUAAUAAAAUUGUAAUAGAUUAACUCAAUAACAUUUUAUGUGGCCAUUAAAAUACUUAAGAGCAGUUUAGUAUGUCUUGGGAAAAGUGUAAGCUAUAUUAUUUUUAUAAAUCAUAAUGAAAAUAUGUGCAUACUAGAGAAUCCCAACUCUGAAAAAUAAAGAGAAAACUGUAGUUAAUUGUAAUUUUCUUCUCCUGGAGACUGAGGAGGGAGGGAGAGAAAAUAAUGGAUGGUAAUUUUUCUUCCUUUUCCCACUUCAUUUCUGUAUUUUCCAAGUUUUUGUCCUAAGCAUAUACAACUAUUUUAAUGAAAAAGUUAUUUUGAAGAAA
Long non-coding RNA from Cebus imitator (Panamanian white-faced capuchin), 1401 nucleotides. RefSeq lists it as uncharacterized. The transcript has 2 exons. The record is from RefSeq and is a predicted model, not a curated record. NCBI's taxonomy places the organism in Eukaryota, Metazoa, Chordata, Mammalia, Primates, Cebidae.